Molecule: ribosomal RNA, 803 nt
Filed under: uncultured bacterium
Lineage: Bacteria
Description: bacterial SSU rRNA
Rfam family: Bacterial small subunit ribosomal RNA
Source: RNAcentral
AACGCUAGCGGCAGGCCUAACACAUGCAAGUCGAGGGGUAACAGGGAGCUUGCUCCGCUGACGACCGGCGCACGGGUGCGUAACGCGUAUACAAUCUACCUUUUGCUACGGGAUAGCCCAGAGAAAUUUGGAUUAAUACCGCAUAGUAUAUUGAGAUCGCAUGGUUUUAAUAUUAAAGGUUACGGCAGAAGAUGAGUAUGCGUUCUAUUAGCUAGAUGGUGUGGUAACGGCACACCAUGGCAACGAUAGAUAGGGGCCCUGAGAGGGGGAUCCCCCACACUGGUACUGAGACACGGACCAGACUCCUACGGGAGGCAGCAGUGAGGAAUAUUGGACAAUGGGCGAGAGCCUGAUCCAGCCAUGCCGCGUGCAGGAAGACGGCCCUAUGGGUUGUAAACUGCUUUUAUACAGGAAGAAACACCUCUACGUGUAGAGGCUUGACGGUACUGUAAGAAUAAGGAUCGGCUAACUCCGUGCCAGCAGCCGCGGUAAUACGGAGGAUCCAGGCGUUAUCCGGAAUCAUUGGGUUUAAAGGGUCCGUAGGUGGAUAAUUAAGUCAGGGGUGAAAGUCUGCAGCUCAACUGUAGAAUUGCCCUUGAUACUGGUUGUCUUGAGUCAUUAUGAAGUAGUUAGAAUAUGUAGUGUAGCGGUGAAAUGCAUAGAUAUUACAUAGAAUACCAAUUGCGAAGGCAGAUUACUAAUAAUGUACUGACACUGAUGGACGAAAGCGUGGGGAGCGAACAGGAUUAGAUACCCUGGUAGUCCACGCCGUAAACGAUGGAUACUAGCUGUUCGGAUUUAUC